This 76-nucleotide transfer RNA is filed under the name Chattonella subsalsa. Lineage: Eukaryota; Raphidophyceae; Chattonellales; Chattonellaceae. The record is from RNAcentral.
GUAAUAGCUUAGUUGGUAGGGCUGCGGACUAAUAAUCAUCCAAGAAAAUGUCACGGGUUCAAAUCAACCUAUGUCC